RNAcentral lists this ribosomal RNA (283 nucleotides) under uncultured bacterium. Its description in RNAcentral is "partial 16S ribosomal RNA". It matches the Rfam family "Bacterial small subunit ribosomal RNA", at positions 773 to 1060 of the family's 1533-position model. The record is from RNAcentral.
GUGGAUUAGAUACCCUGGUAGUCCACGCCCUAAACGAUGAACACUCGAUGUUAGCGAUAUACAGUUAGCGUCUAAGCGAAAGCGUUAAGUGUUCCACCUGGGGAGUACGCCCGCAAGGGUGAAACUCAAAGGAAUUGACGGGGGCCCGCACAAGCGGAGGAGCAUGUGGUUUAAUUCGAUGAUACGCGAGGAACCUUACCCGGGCUUGAAAGUUAGUGAAUGAUUCAGAGACGGAUCAGUCCUUCGGGACACGAAACUAGGUGCUGCAUGGCUGUCGACAACU